This 432-nucleotide ribosomal RNA is filed under the name uncultured bacterium. Its description in RNAcentral is "partial 16S ribosomal RNA". It matches the Rfam family "Bacterial small subunit ribosomal RNA", at positions 29 to 506 of the family's 1533-position model. The record is from RNAcentral.
AACGAACGCUGGCGGCAGGCCUAACACAUGCAAGUCGAGCGGACCUUUCGGGGUCAGCGGCGGACGGGUGAGUAACGCGUGGGAAUAUGCCCUUCUCUACGGAAUAGUCCUGGGAAACUGGGGGUAAUACCGUAUACGCCCUUUGGGGGAAAGAUUUAUCGGGGAAGGAUUAGCCCGCGUUGGAUUAGGUAGUUGGUGGGGUAAUGGCCUACCAAGCCGACGAUCCAUAGCUGGUUUGAGAGGAUGAUCAGCCACACUGGGACUGAGACACGGCCCAGACUCCUACGGGAGGCAGCAGUGGGGAAUCUGAGACAAUGGGGGCAACCCUGAUCUAGCCAUGCCGCGUGAGUGAUGAAGGCCUUAGGGUUGUAAAGCUCUUUCAGCUGGGAAGAUAAUGACGGUACCAGCAGAAGAAGCCCCGGCUAACUCCGU